This 232-nucleotide ribosomal RNA is filed under the name uncultured bacterium. RNAcentral describes it as "partial 16S ribosomal RNA". It matches the Rfam family "Bacterial small subunit ribosomal RNA", at positions 1273 to 1500 of the family's 1533-position model. The record is from RNAcentral.
UCUUAAAGACUGUUCUCAGUUCGGACUGCAGUCUGCAACUCGACUGCACGAAGCUGGAAUCGCUAGUAAUCGCGGAUCAGCACGCCGCGGUGAAUACGUUCCCGGGCCUUGUACACACCGCCCGUCACACCAUGGAAGUCUGCAAUGCCCGAAGCCAGUGGCCUAACCACUUAUGUGGAAGGAGCCGUCUAAGGCAGGGCAGAUGACUGGGGUGAAGUCGUAACAAGGUAAC